AUAAAUUUAAUCAAAUUAAUUAAUUAACUAAAAUAAUUAACGACAAGUAAAAAGAAAGGGGUACAAACAUAAAACAUGGGGUGCAAACAAAUUGAACCUUAACUUAGAUGUAAUCCCAAUACUAAUCUCUAAACAUUUGUAACCCUGCUAAAUUUAUAUAAAAAUAUAUAAAAUAAAAAAUUGAAAAAAGAAUAUAGUGCACAAAAAGGGGGGAGGCGCCCCAUUCAUUUAACCCAAAAAUCUUAUCCUAAAUUUUUUAAUUCAAUUAUAAUAAAUCUAAUGGAUUUUUCUUAUUUUCAAAAUUCAAACAAAACUAUAAUCAAUGCAAUCAGGACAUGUAACACUCUAUUUAUUAAAAAAAAACAAGUAACAAAAAGAGAGAAAGGGCAAAAAACGGAUAAUGCAUGAAAUUCUCUCCUCUCUCUCACAUUUUUUUCUCCAGUUUUCACAAAUUCAGAAACAUAAUAAUUCUUCUCUCUCUCUCUCUCUCUCUCUCUCUCUCUCUCUCUCAAAAACGUGUUUUAGAAGUGCCUUCUCUUUUAAGCCUUAGAUUCAUAUGUCCUCCUACCUUACCCUAUCUAUCUCACUACUUCUCUAAAAAAGCAAAAUCAAUGUAACCGACAAACAUUUUUUAGAUCCAGAAAAGAACAUAAGAAAGACGGAAUCCAUGGAAACCUACAAGCAAAUCAUGAAAAUGGGUGUGGGAAUACCAAGCGCGAACAAAAUCGGUGGCCGGAAAAUGCAGAGGAUUGUUGGAAAUGAGAACGGAAACACAAUUCCAGAUAAGAAAAUGUGGUCGUGUAGUUCAAUGAUUUUCGGCGGAAUCGUGGUGGUCCGACGGUUGUAGUGGCGACAUUGAUUUUUCGCCCGACGCGGUGGUGAAGACUCGAUUCUUGCUUCUUCAGAUUUUGUUGUGUUGUGAGUGAUUUUGGUUUGUAGGUGAUUUUAAAGGAUUUUGCGUGAGAAUGGUGGUUAGAAGGUGAAUUUUAUGGAGGUUAUAUGUUAUGGUUUUGAUGGAGGUUAGUGAAGAUAAGUUGAAGGUGUGAAGAUGAAUGAAGAGAGGUAUGAAAAUGGUGAUGGAGGAGAAGUUUUGAUGGAGAUCAAGAAAGGUUUAAGAUGGAAUAUGAGGUUUUAAUGUUAGAUUUUCGUGUGCUUUUUUAGAGCUUGGGGCUGAAUUUUUUUUGUUCUUCUUUUUUCCUCCUCAUCUCAAUUUAUAGGAUGGAUUCAAGUAUGUGAAAGUCUAAAGUGUGUGAGAAUUUAUCAUGAAAGGAGAGAAAAAAAGAGGUAAAAAUUGUUUGAUCAAAAGUGAGAUAAAAAGGAGGACAAAUUGUGUGACUCAUUUGCAGCAUGAAUGGAUGGUGAGAAUGAUGAUGGUAUAUGGAGAUGAUGACAUGGUGCAUGGAUGAUGGUGUACCAUUGUAUUUUGUCUUAUUCAAAUUAUGUUAGGCUUUUGUUUGAUUUGGUAAAAAAUGUAAUUAAACAUGGUUAAACAUGUGAAUGGUAUGUAAAUGAUGUAACAUUCUAUUUUGGAUUUUUUCCAUUUAUGAUGCAUGUAUGGUGUAUGACAUGUGAUCAAAUAAAAUGAGAUUUUAGAGAUAUUUGUUUAUUUUUGUCAUUUUUGUGAUAUUUGGGUAAGAAACAAAAAUUUAAGAAUAAUAAAAUAAUAAUACUAAUUAUAAUCGUAAUAAUACUAAACUUAUUAUUUUUUUGUUUUAAUUAUUUGGACUAAAAAACGAAUAAAAAGGAAACAAAAAUUGAAUAAAACGUGAAUGCUUGCAGACGCGAAAAAAUAAAAUGAGCACGCCGAGCCUAUCUACUUGUAAUAUCGUUCAGUAAAAUAGACAAUCACAUAUCAUUUAUUGCAGCUAAAAUACUUGAAUGAAAAGACUCAAAUUAAUUGAAAUUCGAUCGCGCGCGAAUGCGGAAAAAAGAACUAGUGUACUAGACUAAACUACGUGUAAUAUUGUUUAAUAAAACAAGCAGUCGUUGGCUCGAACUAAAAAAAAAUUGUCUGCUGAUUUUACUUGCCUUUGAAAACUGCUUCAACCGGUCUAUAUGCAAAACUGUACUGAUAUUUUAGAUCAAACAAAAUAAAGCUAGUUAACUGAAAAAUGAAAUGUUUGGACAAAAUUAAGGUACGACAACUGCCCCUAUUUAAUUACUUUUACCCAGAGAGUAUGAAUGAUGAUAAUCUUCAUAUAAUCAUGGUGAAAGAUAAUUAAAUACAAAUGACCCAAAUUUCGUCCUUCAAAUGUAAAAGCAAUGGAAUGAAAUGAAAUGAGACUUGGCGAAAUACCUUUAUCGGUGAAUGGAAAUGAAAGGUGGACUCACUAGGGAUUGAAUGAGGUAGGGUGAAAAGGGUCCAUUGGAAUAUAUCUGACAAAAUGACUAGGGAGAAUGUUCCUUAGGGAUGCUUCAAAAGAGACAGUGUGUUCUGGAUUUUCACAGACCAAACCAAAGGACAUUCAGAAAUAUCAGUAACAAAAUGGUAAAUUCUUGAUUCUCACAGGACGAACCAAUGACAUUCGACAAUCUUUGUAAUAAAAUGGCAAGUUCUGGAUUAUCACAUAAUGAACCAAAUGGUAUUCCACAAUCUUUGUAAUAAAAUGGUAAUUUCUAGAUUAUCACAUAACGAAAA
RNAcentral lists this long non-coding RNA (2638 nucleotides) under Lathyrus oleraceus (garden pea). Its description in RNAcentral is "Pisum sativum (pea) long non-coding RNA (PSAT_LNC018362)". The record is from RNAcentral. Lineage: Eukaryota; Viridiplantae; Streptophyta; Magnoliopsida; Fabales; Fabaceae.